UACGAAGGGGGCUAGCGUUGUUCGGAUUCAUUGGGCGUAAAGAGCUCGUAGGCGGCCGCUCAAGUCGAAUGUGAAAACUCGAGGCUCAACCUCGAGCCUGCAUUCGAUACUGGGUGGCUAGAGUCUGGUAGGGGGAUCUGGAAUUCCUGGUGUAGCGGUGGAAUGCGCAGAUAUCAGGAGGAACACCGGUGGCGAAGGCGGGAUCCUGGGCCAGUACUGACGCUGAGGAGCGAAAGCGUGGGGAGCAAACAGG
Molecule: ribosomal RNA, 253 nt
Filed under: uncultured bacterium
Lineage: Bacteria
Description: partial 16S ribosomal RNA
Rfam family: Bacterial small subunit ribosomal RNA
Source: RNAcentral